CAGCAGCCGCGGUAAUACGAAGGGUGCAAGCGUUACUCGGAAUUACUGGGCGUAAAGCGUGCGUAGGUGGUGGUUUAAGUCCGUUGUGAAAGCCCUGGGCUUAACCUGGGAAUUGCAGUGGAUACUGGGUCACUAGAGUGUGGUAGAGGAUAGUGGAAUUUCCGGUGUAGCAGUGAAAUGCGUAGAGAUCGGAAGGAACAUCUGUGGCGAAGGCGACUAUCUGGGCCAACACUGACACUGAGGCACGAAAGCGUGGGGAGCAAACAGGAUUAGAUACCCCCGUAGUCCCUGUCUCUUAUAA
Molecule: ribosomal RNA, 301 nt
Filed under: uncultured bacterium
Lineage: Bacteria
Description: partial 16S ribosomal RNA
Rfam family: Bacterial small subunit ribosomal RNA
Source: RNAcentral